RNAcentral lists this ribosomal RNA (457 nucleotides) under uncultured bacterium. RNAcentral describes it as "SSU rRNA". It matches the Rfam family "Bacterial small subunit ribosomal RNA", at positions 26 to 518 of the family's 1533-position model. The record is from RNAcentral.
AGAACGAACGCUGGCGGCAUGCCUAACACAUGCAAGUCGAACGUGAUCCAUGACUUCGGUUGUGGUGAAAGUGGCAAACGGGUGAGUAACGCGUGGGAAUCUGCCCAGAGGUAGGGAAUAACCGCGGGAAACUGCGGCUAAUACCCUAUGUGCCCUACGGGGCAAAGAUUUAUCGCCUUUGGAGGAGCCCGCGUCGGAUUAGGUAGUUGGUAGGGUAACGGCCUACCAAGCCUACGAUCCGUAGCUGGUCUGAGAGGAUGAUCAGCCACACUGGGACUGAGAUACGGCCCAGACUCCUACGGGAGGCAGCAGUGGGGAAUAUUGGACAAUGGGGGCAACCCUGAUCCAGCAAUGCCGCGUGAGUGAUGAAGGCCUUCGGGUUGUAAAGCUCUUUCGGCGGGAAGAUGAUGACGGUACCCGUAGAAUAAGCCCCGGCUAACUUCGUGCCAGCAGCCGC